RNAcentral lists this ribosomal RNA (763 nucleotides) under uncultured bacterium. RNAcentral describes it as "bacterial SSU rRNA". It matches the Rfam family "Bacterial small subunit ribosomal RNA", at positions 21 to 776 of the family's 1533-position model. The record is from RNAcentral.
GGCUCAGGAUGAACGCUAGCGGCAGGCUUAAUACAUGCAAGUCGAGGGGCAGCGGGGGUAGCAAUACCUGCCGGCGACCGGCAAACGGGUGCGGAACACGUACACAACCUUCCUUUAAGUGGGGGAUAGCCCAGAGAAAUUUGGAUUAAUACCCCGUAAUAUUAUUGAGUGGCAUCAUUUAAUAAUUAAAGCUCCGGCGCUUAGAGAUGGGUGUGCGGCUGAUUAGGUAGUUGGUGAAGGUAACGGCCCACCAAGCCAACGAUCAGUAACUGGUGUGAGAGCACGACCAGUCACACGGGCACUGAGACACGGGCCCGACUCCUACGGGAGGCAGCAGUAAGGAAUAUUGGUCAAUGGACGCAAGUCUGAACCAGCCAUGCCGCGUGGAGGAUGAAGGUCCUCUGGAUUGUAAACUUCUUUUAUCUGGGAAGAAAUGCCAGAAUUCUUUUUGGUUUGACGGUACCAGAUGAAUAAGCACCGGCUAACUCCGUGCCAGCAGCCGCGGUAAUACGGAGGGUGCAAGCGUUAUCCGGAUUCACUGGGUUUAAAGGGUGCGUAGGUGGGCAGUUAAGUCAGUGGUGAAAUCUCCGGGCUUAACCCGGAAACUGCCAUUGAUACUAUCUGUCUUGAAUACCGUGGAGGUAAGCGGAAUAUGUCAUGUAGCGGUGAAAUGCUUAGAUACGACAUAGAACACCAAUUGCGAAAGGCAGCUUACUACACGUACUAUUGACACUGAGGCACGAAAGCGUGGGGAUCAAACAGG